Molecule: non-coding RNA, 720 nt
Organism: Paramuricea clavata
Lineage: Eukaryota; Metazoa; Cnidaria; Anthozoa; Malacalcyonacea; Plexauridae
Source: the annotation of a GenBank genome assembly
AAACUUUCUGGCCAUUGGAUUGUGGCUGGAUGACAUUAUUGUUAGAGUAAAUUAUGUAAAACACCAUUUCUUUGCACAAACAACUUAAACGUUUUCAAUUACAUUUGCAUUUCUAGUCAUUAAUCGUCCUACUGCAUCAAGAAAUCCGUGUCGAUAUUCUUCAACAAAACGCCUUACAUUAAAACGGAAAUGACCAUCACGUCGAAUUCUUUCAUUUUAUCCUUCCAAACAUGUGUUGGGGAAAGUUUACUGCGACAAUAUGGCCCGAACAGCGAUUAUUUUAAACUCUCUCUUUCGCCUGGGACAUAUAUAGCUACGCUUCAGGAAUUUAUACGCUGAGCACGUUGACAUUAGAAUGGAGAAUUGCCAGCUUAGAAAAUUGUGUAAGCGUUCAUGGUCAAGAUUUGGACACAAAUUGACGAUAUGAUGCGGUUCUGACACUACUGGGAACGGAAAAGUUCAUCAACGUUGUCUAUUAACCUGACUUCGCUUGCAAGAACUGGAUUUUAAGCAAAGUUUUGGUCACUUGUGGCAAUUUGGUAUUUAGACAUGGUUUUAUUGGUUGUGUUUUGGUUGAAAGUAUGUUUUGGUUGAAAGUAUGUUUAUGACCAGGAGUGCAAUUCAAAAUGUGUCUGUCUUGGAAAUACGAUAUCGUAAUAGUGCAAUUUGAUAUAUUGUAAGUGAAAAUAAAUUUUGAUGUUACAUGGUAGUGUCACCGGC